CUAAGGAAACGUAUUUUAAACCAGAAAAUCUUUUUGAAAGAAAAAACAUUCAACACAAAGCUUCAGUUCCACCCCACUUGCCCAAUAAAUCUUCAUUUUAGUUUGGUUCAUCAGGAAAACGUGCCAUAUUCAUUUUAUGAGUUUACAAAUCCCCAACACAUCGCCAAGUCUCCCAGGGGAAACAUUUAUCUUCAUAUGAGAAGUCAAGCAAUAGUGUUAAGACCGAUGGGGAGAAGUUAUGGAGAGGCAGAUCAGAUUCUAUCCCAAUGCAAGCGAGGUCUAAGAGGGGCCAUUGCCCAGUGGUGGAAGAGACCCCGGAAAAAGUAAUACGUAAGCAGCCACUGAAAAGUUUCUUGGCAGAAAUGGGUCAUGGGUCUGGGGGAAGUUAACAGGAGAUUCCACUUUGGGAAUGCUAGUGCCAGAGCAAAUGUAAGACCAUUGGUGAGAGGAACCGGAGAACCCCUUGCUCUCUGUUGUUCUAAUAAGGCUUGCAGAGAAGCCCUUACUACAGUAACAACAACUAACAGUCCUUACUAUGCCUCAGGCCCUAUUCCCAAAGCUUUACUAUGUCAUUUAGUUCUUAGAGUGACCCAUAUUAUCAUCAAUCCCAUUUCCAGAUUAGGAAACAGAGGCACACGGAAAUUAAGUAAAUGGACUCAAUGUCUCCCGGUUGCUAAGAAGCAGAGCUAGAUUUUGAACUCAGACUGUUAGGAGCUGGGGCCGGAACUGUCCCGUACCACACAAUGUCAUCUCCUUGGUUCUUGGCUCUGACCUAGAAGGGAUCUUGUCCACAGGAAGGAGGCCUGGUGGUGAGGGGUCUGGACACCUGGACUCUGGUCCACACUCUGCCACUAAUCCGGUGACUUUGGAAGGGUCACUUACUUUUCCUGUUGUUGUUUUUUUUCACAUGCUAAUUCAUUAUUUCUGAGUCUGACAGGAGACCAUAGUUUUUUACGUGUCUUUUACUGAAACUCAGGAAAUUGUGCCACAUCAUGUGGGAGUCCCACCAUGCUACCAGUAAAACUGAACUAUAGUAAAACAAAAUAAAACAAACCACUGAAAAAACAAAAAGCAAAAAACCUAUUGGGAAGUAAAAAAAAAAAAAAAACCCAAAACAAGCCAAAAAAACAUAUUGGGAAGUGCCUCUCUCUCCCUUGGAUUUACUUUUCUAGCAGGUGGAAUCCUAUCUAUCUAUCAUCUAUCUAUUAUCUAUCUAUCUAUCAUCUAUCUAUUAUCUAUCUAUCUAUCUAUCUAUCUAUCUAUCAUCUAUCUAUUAUCUAUCUAUCUAUCUAUCUAUCAUCUAUCUAUUAUCUAUCUAUCUAUCAUCUAUCUAUUAUCUAUCUAUCUAUCAUCUAUCUAUCAUCUAUCUAUUAUCUAUCUAUCUAUCUAUCAUCUAUCUAUUAUCUAUCUAUCUAUCUAUCUAUCUAUCUAUCAUCUAUCUAUUAUCUAUCUAUCUAUCAUCUAUCUAUCUAUCUAUCUAUCUAUCUAUCAUCUAUCUAUUAUCUAUCUAUCUAUCAUCUAUCUAUCAUCUAUCUAUCUAUCUAUCUAUCUAUCUAUCAUCUAUCUAUUAUCUAUCUAUCUAUCUAUCUAUCUAUCAUCUAUCUAUUAUCUAUCUAUCUAUCUAUCUAUCAUCUAUCUAUUAUCUAUCUAUCUAUCUAUCAUCUAUCUAUCAUCUAUCUAUUAUCUAUCUAUCUAUCUAUCUAUCUAUCUAUCUAUCUAUCAUCUAUCUCUAUUAUCUAUCUAUCAUCUAUCUAUUAUCUAUCUAUCUAUCUAUCUAUCUAUCAUCUAUCUAUUAUCUAUCUAUCUAUCUAUCUAUCUAUCUAUCUAUCAUCUAUCUAUUAUCUAUCUAUCUAUCAUCUAUCUAUUAUCUAUCUAUCUAUCAUCUAUCUAUUAUCUAUCUAUCUAUCAUCUAUCUAUCAUCUAUCUAUUAUCUAUCUAUCAUCUAUCUAUCUAUCAUCUAUCUAUUAUCUAUCUAUCUAUCUAUCAUCUAUCUAUCUAUCAUCUAUCUAUUAUCUAUCUAUCUAUCUAUCAUCUAUCUAUUAUCUAUCUAUCUAUCUAUCUAUCUAUCAUCUAUCUAUUAUCUAUCUAUCAUCUAUCUAUUAUCUAUCUAUCAUCUAUCUAUUAUCUAUCUAUCUAUCAUCUAUCUAUUAUCUAUCUAUCUAUCUAUCAUCUAUCUAUUAUCUAUCUAUCUAUCUAUCAUCUAUCUAUUAUCUAUCUAUCUAUCUAUCUAUCUAUCUAUCUAUCAUCUAUCUAUUAUCUAUCUAUCUAUCCAUCUAUCUAUCUAUCUAUCUAUCUAUCUAUCUAUCAUCUAUCUAUCAUCUAUCUAUCUAUCAUCUAUCUAUUAUCUAUCUAUCUAUCUAUCUAUCAUCUAUCUAUUAUCUAUCUAUCUAUCUAUCAUCUAUCUAUCAUCUAUCUAUUAUCUAUCUAUCUAUCUAUCUAUCAUCUAUCUAUCAUCUAUCUAUUAUCUAUCUAUCUAUCAUCUAUCUAUUAUCUAUCUAUCUAUCUAUCUAUCAUCUAUCUAUUAUCUAUCUAUCAUCUAUCUAUUAUCUAUCUAUCUAUCAUCUAUCUAUUAUCUAUCUAUCAUCUAUCUAUUAUCUAUCUAUCUAUCAUCUAUCUAUUAUCUAUCUAUCUAUCAUCUAUCUAUUAUCUAUCUAUCUAUCUAUCUAUCUAUCAUCUAUCUAUUAUCUAUCUAUCUAUCUAUCAUCUAUCUAUUAUCUAUCUAUCAUCUAUCUAUCAUCUAUCUAUUAUCUAUCUAUCUAUCUAUCUAUCUAUCUAUCUAUCUAUCUAUCUAUCAUCUAUCUAUUAUCUAUCUAUCUAUCUAUCUAUCAUCUAUCUAUUAUCUAUCUAUCAUCUAUCUAUUAUCUAUCUAUCUAUCUAUCUAUCUAUCUAUCAUCUAUCUAUUAUCUAUCUAUCAUCUAUCUAUUAUCUAUCUAUCUAUCUAUCAUCUAUCUAUUAUCUAUCUAUCUAUCAUCUAUCUAUUAUCUAUCUAUCUAUCUAUCUAUCAUCUAUCUAUUAUCUAUCUAUCUAUCUAUCUAUCAUCUAUCUAUUAUCUAUCUAUCAUCUAUCUAUUAUCUAUCUAUCUAUCUAUCUAUCUAUCUAUCAUCUAUCUAUUAUCUAUCUAUCUAUCAUCUAUCUUUCUAUCAUCUAUCUUUCUAUUAUCUAUCUACAUAUCUAUCAUCUAUCUUUCUAUUAUCUAUCUAUCAUCUAUCUAUCAUCUCUAUCAUCUAUCUCUAUUAUCUAUCUAUCAUCUCUAUCAUCUAUCUUUCUAUCAUCUAUCUAUCAUCUCUAUCAUCUAUCUCUAUAUCUAUCAUCUAUCUAUCAUCUAUCUCUAUAUCUAUCAUCUAUCUAUCAUCUAUUAUCUAUCAUCUAUUAUCUAUCUACAUAUCUAUCAUCUAUCUAUCAUCUAUCUAUCUAUCUAUCAUCUAUCUAUCUAUCUAUCUAUCUAUCAUCUAUCUCUAUAU
Molecule: long non-coding RNA, 3461 nt
Filed under: Felis catus (domestic cat)
Lineage: Eukaryota; Metazoa; Chordata; Mammalia; Carnivora; Felidae
Description: lncRNA (ENSFCAG00000048894.1)
Source: RNAcentral